This 2245-nucleotide ribosomal RNA is filed under the name human gut metagenome. RNAcentral describes it as "bacterial LSU rRNA". It matches the Rfam family "Bacterial large subunit ribosomal RNA", at positions 14 to 2346 of the family's 2925-position model. The record is from RNAcentral.
AGAGCGCAAGGGGAAUGCCUUGGCAUCGAGAGCCGAAGAAGGACGUGACAAGCUGCGAUAAGUCUGGGGGAGCCGCACAUAGGCUUUGAUCCCGGAAUUUCCGAAUGGGGAAACCCGGCAGAGCAAUACUCUGUCAGCGUGCGUUGAAUAAAAUAGGCGUACGCGGGGAACCGCCUGAACUGAAACAUCUAAGUAGGGCGAGGAAGAGAAAUCAACCGAGAUUCCGCAAGUAGUGGCGAGCGAACGCGGAAGAGGGCAAACCAGAGGAUUUAUUCUCUGGGGUUGUGGACUUGCACACGGGAGACUAGGUUAGCUGAAUGGUAUGGGAAGGCCAUCCACAGAGGGUGAGAGACCCGUAAGCGAAAACCGAAGUCUUUCAGCGAGGAUCCAGAGUACCGCCGGACACGUGAAACCCGGUGGGAAGCAGGGGGGACCACCCUCCAACCCUAAAUACUACUCGAUGACCGAUAGAGGAGCAGUACCGUGAGGGAAAGGUGAAAAGGACCCCGGGAGGGGAGUGAAAGAGAACCUGAAACCUUGUGCUUACAAGCACUCAAAGCACGUUAAAGUGUGAUGAGGUACUUUUUGUAGAACGGUCCGGCGAGUUAUUGUAUGUAGCGAGCUUAAGGUGUUCAGCACCGGAGGCGAAGCGAGAGCGAGUCUGAAUAGGGCGACUGAGUUGCAUGCAAUAGACCCGAAACCAGGUGACCUAUCCAUGGGCAGGUUGAAGUGGGGGUAAAACCCCAUGGAGGACCGAACCGACCCCCGUUGCAAUGGUGGCGGAUGACCUGUGGAUAGCGGAGAAAUUCUAAUCGAACUUGGAGAUAGCUGGUUCUCCCCGAAAUAGCUUUAGGGCUAGCGUUGAUUUAGAUUACCGGAGGUAAAGCACUGAAUGGGCUAGGGGCUGAUAAAGUUACUGAACCCUAUCAAACUAAGAAUGCCGGCAAAUUGAUGAUCAGCAGUCAGACUACGUGAGAUAAGUCUCGUGGUCAAAAGGGAAACAGCCCAGACCCACAGCUAAGGUCCCAAAUAUACGCUAAGUGGAAAACGAUGUGGAAUUGCGAAAACAACCAGGAUGUUGGCUUAGAAGCAGCCACUCAUUAAAAGAGUGCGUAAUAGCUCACUGGUCGAGUGGUUCUGCGCGGAAAAUGUAACGGGGCUAAGCGUAUAACCGAAGCUUGGGAUGCAGCAAUGCAUGGUAGGGGAGCGUCGAAUACGGGGUGAAGUCGUAGCGGAAGCAGCGGUGGACUGUAUUCGAGUGAGAAUGCCGGAAUGAGUAGCGAGAAUUAUGUGGGAAUCAUAAUGGCCGAAAAUCUAAGGUUUCUUGGGGAAGGUUCGUCCGCCCAAGGUAAGCCGGGAGCUAAGGCGAGGCCGAAAGGCGUAGUCGAUGCACAUACGGUUGAAAUUCCGUAGCCACCGAAACUUAAACCAGAAGGACACUUGGAGCUAUCCGAACCCGGGCGUUGGUUGACCCGGGCGUAAGGGACCGAAAUUAAGUAGGGAAGUCGGAGAAUGACGAGGCGAGAAAAGUUCUGGUGUAUGCUAAGGUGCCCGUACCGCAAACCGACACAGGUAGAUGAGGAGAGAAUCCUAAGGCCAACGGGAGAAGGGUUGUUAAGGAACUCGGCAAAAUUACCCCGUAACUUCGGGAUAAGGGGAGCCCCCUACGGGGGGCCGCAGAGAAUAGGCCCAAGCGACUGUUUACCAAAAACACAGGUCUAUGCUAAAUCGAAAGAUGACGUAUAUGGGCUGACGCCUGCCCGGUGCUGGAAGGUUAAGAGGAGAGCUUAGCGCAAGCGAAGGUUUGAAUUGAAGCCCCAGUAAACGGCGGCCGUAACUAUAACGGUCCUAAGGUAGCGAAAUUCCUUGUCAGGUAAGUUCUGACCCGCACGAAUGGCGUAACGAUUUGGGCGCUGUCUCAACAGCCCACCCGGCGAAAUUGUAGUACUGGUGAAGAUGCCAGUUACCCGCAACUAGACGGAAAGACCCCAUGGAGCUUUACUGUAGCUUAAUACUGAGGAUUGGUAAUUGAUGUACAGGAUAGGUGGGAGACAUGGAAACAUUGGCGUCAGCCAGUGCGGAGUCACCCUUGGGAUACCACCCUUCAAUUGCUGGUUUUCUAACCUGCGGCCGUGAAUCCGGUCGGGGGACACUGUUAGGUGGGCAGUUUGACUGGGGCGGUCGCCUCCAAAAAGGUAACGGAGGCGCUCAAAGGUUCGUUCAGCACGGACGGAAAUCGUGCAGU